RNAcentral lists this non-coding RNA (22 nucleotides) under Arabidopsis thaliana (thale cress). Lineage: Eukaryota; Viridiplantae; Streptophyta; Magnoliopsida; Brassicales; Brassicaceae. The record is from RNAcentral.
AAGCCACCACCAGUACAAUUGC